Molecule: non-coding RNA, 23 nt
Filed under: Arabidopsis thaliana (thale cress)
Lineage: Eukaryota; Viridiplantae; Streptophyta; Magnoliopsida; Brassicales; Brassicaceae
Source: RNAcentral
CGUUCUAUUGUCGGCAGCCUCCA